This 471-nucleotide ribosomal RNA is filed under the name Priestia megaterium. RNAcentral's name for it is "bacterial SSU rRNA". It matches the Rfam family "Bacterial small subunit ribosomal RNA", at positions 62 to 514 of the family's 1533-position model. Lineage: Bacteria; Bacillati; Bacillota; Bacilli; Caryophanales; Bacillaceae. The record is from RNAcentral.
UCGAGCGAACUGAUUAGAAGCUUGCUUCUAUGACGUUAGCGGCGGACGGGUGAGUAACACGUGGGCAACCUGCCUGUAAGACUGGGAUAACUUCGGGAAACCGAAGCUAAUACCGGAUAGGAUCUUCUCCUUCAUGGGAGAUGAUUGAAAGAUGGUUUCGGCUAUCACUUACAGAUGGGCCCGCGGUGCAUUAGCUAGUUGGUGAGGUAACGGCUCACCAAGGCAACGAUGCAUAGCCGACCUGAGAGGGUGAUCGGCCACACUGGGACUGAGACACGGCCCAGACUCCUACGGGAGGCAGCAGUAGGGAAUCUUCCGCAAUGGACGAAAGUCUGACGGAGCAACGCCGCGUGAGUGAUGAAGGCUUUCGGGUCGUAAAACUCUGUUGUUAGGGAAGAACAAGUACGAGAGUAACUGCUCGUACCUUGACGGUACCUAACCAGAAAGCCACGGCUAACUACGUGCCAGCAG